RNAcentral lists this ribosomal RNA (495 nucleotides) under uncultured bacterium. RNAcentral describes it as "partial 16S ribosomal RNA". It matches the Rfam family "Bacterial small subunit ribosomal RNA", at positions 28 to 507 of the family's 1533-position model. The record is from RNAcentral.
GACGAACGCUGGCGGCGUGCCUAAUACAUGCAAGUAGAACGCUGAAGGAGGAGCUUGCUUCUCCGGAUGAGUUGCGCACGGGUGAGUAACGCGUAGGUAACCUGCCUGGUAGCGGGGGAUAACUAUUGGAAACGAUAGCUAAUACCUCAUAACAGUAGAUGUUGCAUGACAUUUGCUUAAAAGGUGCCAUUUCAUCACUACCAGAUGGACCUGCGUUGUAUUAGCUAGUUGGUGGGGUAACGGCUCACCAAGGCGACGAUACAUAGCCGACCUGGGAGGGUGAUCGGCCAAAAUUGGAAUGGGAAACGGGCCAGACUCCUACGGGAAGGAGCAGGAGGGAAUCUUCGGAAAUGGACGGAAGUCUGACCGAGCAAAGCCGCGGGAGGGAAGAAGGGUUUCGGAGCGGAAAGCUCUGUUGGAAGAGAAGAACGAGUGUGAGAGUGGAAAGUUCACAGGGUGACGGUACCUGAACAGAAAGGGACGGCUAACUACGUG